AUGAGAUCAAUCUUGUAACAGCCCGAUCCCCCGGAGUCCGACCGGGGUUAUCGAAGGGGCGUUAUGGACACGUGUCUACUCAUCUAGACAACCCUACGUGUCCCGUUACUGGUCCCGAGAGACGAGCGCAUAACCUUCUUUGAAAUACCGUCAUACCCACAUCCAUAUACUUCUACUUACAGUCCUGCGCACAGGAAAAAUGGAAAUGGAGGGGUGAGCAACAAGUUACUCAGUGAAGUGGUUCUAGACCAGCCUGCCCGCAUGACACUCUAUACUACUCCAUGCGGGAACUAGGACUGACUAGCCACUACAAUCAGUUAAUGCAUUUUCAUCAUUUCCUAAUGUUAUCUGCAGUUUCCACAAUCACUUCCAUUCAUUUCUAACAACCUAGCGAUCAAUCAAUACAAUGAUCUCACUCAUUGCCACACACGUCAAACCCUAGACUUAACCGACUCCUCUUGUCCGUCCGACCCGACCCUAUGACACCUUUAACUCCCCGUUACCCGACCAUGAGCUAAAACCCUACAAUGCACAUCCUUUUCAACUUUUCAUCUUUUCCUCUUUUCCUCUUUUCCUCUUUUCCUCAGUGGGUAGCCCCCCACUAGGCUUCUACCCCAUAUUCAUGUGGAUUCGCCACAUCUCCUAUGGGUGCUUCCAUAUUCAUGUGGAUUCGCCACAUCUCCUAUGGAUACCUAGCGUGGACUACUUACCCCACCUACAAACCUUAGACUCUCUAUAUGCUUUCCCACCCAUGCUUAACCUUAACAUCCUUCUUUCAUACUUUUACUUAUCAUUUCACUUCCUUAUCGUUUUCACUUAAUCCUCCCCAUUCCCAAUUACUUUCCCUUUUCAUUCAUACUUGAACUUGGACUAAAUCACUAGACGCCACCCGUUAUCGGUGUCACACACAAUACACAUCGCAUUCAAGUUCUACUUCAAUAACGUUUAUAAUCAUUGCUCAUCUAUCAUCCUAGCAUUUGUUCCUCUCUAGCAUCCUAACUUCAAUCACAACAACACAUGGGACAACACAACCAAACAUACAAGUAUCAACUACCAAUCAAUCAUUACCACGACAAUUCAAUUCAGUUCAUCAAGUCCCAUUUAUCAGUAUGAGGGUUCUUAUGCAUCAUGAUUCAUUCAUCUAUCAUCCUAGCAAUACCAUGUCCUAUCAACCUAACUCCCAAUCAGGGUCUAAUCAAGCCUAACUCCAACAUAAAGGAGUAUACAGAACCAUGAAAGAAGGUUGGGUUCGAAACACUCCACCUUAGUCUUAGAUCUGGAUCUGGAUCUGGAAACGAGGAUUUGAGAAGGUUGAGAUCUGGUCAGCACCACCACUUCACGGCGCCGGCGAGAGGGAGAGAGAGAGAGCGUGCGACGGCGAGGAGAGAGAGAGAGCGACGCGCGGGAGAGAGAGAGAGCGACGCGCGGGAGAGAGAGAGGAGAGAGAGACGGCGCAGGAGAGAAGGAGAGAGAGCUCGACGGCUAGGGUUUUCGACCUCCGGGAAUUCUCUGCAGAGCUUCGCUUCAGAUUUGUGAUGAGGCAAAAAGGGAGACUGCAUCUCUUUUUAUAGUAAAGGGAAGGGGAAGCCCUAGGGUUUUGCUAAAUGGGCCGUAGAGAAGCCCAUAUUCUUUGGGAAAUUUUUAUGGGCCAGGAACCGGGCCGUUACAAUCCUCCCCCGUUAAUCGGAAUUCGUCCCCGAAUUCCAAAGCCCACAUCUUUCAGACCACUCGUUCGUUACCAAAAUGGAUUCACACAUUCACACAACAAUCAAGGGAGGCAUACAUGACACGAUAACUCUACUGGGAUCUUUAAAACCAACGAAGGAAUGUCAUAAAUAAUAAAAGGAGUAGGACUACAAUAGUUUGUAAAAGAAAACCCAGCACAUCUGCACAAUACAGAAUGUCGUAAAUAAGGGAAGGAACACCAACUCCUCAGCUGGCUUCGGUUGACACAUCUUGGCCGUAUCCAAGAACUCCUCCAGGUAAUCUCUCACCUUGCGUGGCUUCUGAACCAUCUGGACCAGUACGUCACAAUCACAUGUUACUGCAGGUGGUUUUCGCGGACGCCCCCGCUUUCCCUUAGCGGGUGUCCCUACCGGCACCUCAUGGCCAUCGACGUCCCCACCCGGGUUUCCUCCUUCCAUGCUCGAGAGAGCGGCCUCAUCGGCUGCAAUCUUCUCUUCUGCCUCCAUGGCGAAACCUGCCAUCCGCCUCACUAACGCGAACUCCAAGGGCUCCAAAACACCCCUCAGCUGCGCCUGGAGCUCCUGGCGUAGCCCGUUCUUAUACCAUAUGCACCACGUCUCUGCAUUCUUCGGUUUGCACAGCUUGGCUUGGUUGAUGAAGUCCUCCGUGUAUCCAGCGACUGAUCGGUCCUCCUGAGCAUUCUUGCUCAGCACUCCACACUGGCACUUCCCGGUGAACGCCCUUGGGGUUCCCCCUGCUGCACUUGGCGUCUUGCAGGGACGGCCACGCUUCCUCGGGGGUCCCUCUUCGGUUGCAAGCUGGAACCUCGCAUUGCCCUGCAGUAGGCGUGUCUCCAUAGCCAUCCUCUGGAAAUGAGGCAUCAACACCUUAUGCCUCACAGUCUGCUCGUGCGGGUACCUGAAUGGGAACUCCCUGUACUGUUCUUCAGGAUCCGGAAACAUGGGUAGCACCAAGUUACCCUCCCUGUCAUAGUGACGCCUUUGGGCAUACUCCCUGGUGUUCCUCCGUCCGUAGUGCAUACGCGGCAUCCUCCACUCGUAAUGGUCAAGCGAAAACAUCCUGCAAUAAAAUUUCAAUCAGAACCAUAAUAGAAGUAUGGAUAUAGUGGGAUUUUCAAUUAAUCUUUCACAAUCCGAAAAUACUUAGUAAUAUUGCAAUUUUUUUUUUUUUUUUUUUUGAAGACGAAAUAUAUUGAAAUAUAUAUAUAUUAAUUUUUUUUUUUUUUUUUUUUUUUUUUUUUUAAAACGUCGGAAAUGCCGAUCCCUUAGGACGGAACUAAGGGAUCUUAACCCGCUCUGAUACCAAUUGUAACAGCCCGAUCCCCCGGAGUCCGACCGGGGUUAUCGAAGGGGCGUUAUGGACACGUGUCUACUCAUCUAGACAACCCUACGUGUCCCGUUACUGGUCCCGAGAGACGAGCGCAUAACCUUCUUUGAAAUACCGUCAUACCCACAUCCAUAUACUUCUACUUACAGUCCUGCGCACAGGAAAAAUGGAAAUGGAGGGGUGAGCAACAAGUUACUCAGUGAAGUGGUUCUAGACCAGCCUGCCCGCAUGACACUCUAUACUACUCCAUGCGGGAACUAGGACUGACUAGCCACUACAAUCAGUUAAUGCAUUUUCAUCAUUUCCUAAUGUUAUCUGCAGUUUCCACAAUCACUUCCAUUCAUUUCUAACAACCUAGCGAUCAAUCAAUACAAUGAUCUCACUCAUUGCCACACACGUCAAACCCUAGACUUAACCGACUCCUCUUGUCCGUCCGACCCGACCCUAUGACACCUUUAACUCCCCGUUACCCGACCAUGAGCUAAAACCCUACAAUGCACAUCCUUUUCAACUUUUCAUCUUUUCCUCUUUUCCUCUUUUCCUCUUUUCCUCAGUGGGUAGCCCCCCACUAGGCUUCUACCCCAUAUUCAUGUGGAUUCGCCACAUCUCCUAUGGGUGCUUCCAUAUUCAUGUGGAUUCGCCACAUCUCCUAUGGAUACCUAGCGUGGACUACUUACCCCACCUACAAACCUUAGACUCUCUAUAUGCUUUCCCACCCAUGCUUAACCUUAACAUCCUUCUUUCAUACUUUUACUUAUCAUUUCACUUCCUUAUCGUUUUCACUUAAUCCUCCCCAUUCCCAAUUACUUUCCCUUUUCAUUCAU
Molecule: long non-coding RNA, 3857 nt
Filed under: Brassica rapa (field mustard)
Lineage: Eukaryota; Viridiplantae; Streptophyta; Magnoliopsida; Brassicales; Brassicaceae
Description: long non-coding RNA (BRAP_LNC006158)
Source: RNAcentral